RNAcentral lists this ribosomal RNA (59 nucleotides) under Bacillus sp. EB106-08-02-XG196. Its description in RNAcentral is "partial 23S ribosomal RNA". The record is from RNAcentral. Lineage: Bacteria; Bacillati; Bacillota; Bacilli; Caryophanales; Bacillaceae.
UUAGGUUAAGUUAGAAAGGGCGCACGGUGGAUGCCUUGGCACUAGGAGCCGAUGAAGGA